AAGGAUCAUUAACAAAUCACAGUUGUGUGUGUGUGGGUGGGUGCGGUGUUUGCGCACGGCCUGCCUCAUACUCAUAAUAUAUACCCGAGUCCUAAUCCCUUGGGAUUGGGCUUUGGUUAGGUGGAAGGGGGAGGUGCUGCGUGCAUGCGCCUUCACAGGCGGUGUACUGUUGUCUCCUGUACCCUUUUGCCAAAUAGACGCGUUUGUACUAGUUUGACAGAGAAAUGUUGCUGUGUGUUAUAGCACGCAAAAAAUACAAUGACAACUUUUAACAAUGGAUCUCUUGGCUCCU
RNAcentral lists this unclassified non-coding RNA (292 nucleotides) under uncultured fungus. RNAcentral describes it as "partial contains 18S rRNA, ITS1, 5.8S rRNA, ITS2 and 28S rRNA". The record is from RNAcentral. Lineage: Eukaryota; Fungi.